Long non-coding RNA from Zea mays, 754 nucleotides. RefSeq lists it as uncharacterized. Lineage: Eukaryota; Viridiplantae; Streptophyta; Magnoliopsida; Poales; Poaceae. The record is from RefSeq and is a predicted model, not a curated record. The transcript is spliced from 2 exons.
GAAAAGAAAGACUUCGAACUUCAAUCAACCGAAGGCUUGCUGGCAGAGACCGAAGCUAAAAUAUCAGAAUUGAAUUCGAAGCUUAUCGGUCAAUCAAAACAGUUUGAACAGGAAAAGCUAGAGCUUAAUUCUAAACUUGAAGCCGAAGUCCAAGCCAACUCAAAUUUGAAGAAAUCAUUAACAAGCCUUCAGGAUAAAUGUUUGAAUUUUAGCAACAAUUGUAUCCAACAACUAAAGAAGAUCUUUUACUCAGUUGGAGCCAGCAGCGGGAAAUUUACCCCUUCGGAUGAAGAUUUACCAAAAGCCUUCGAUCAUAUCGAAGCUGAAAUUGAAGAACUUGACGAAGUUAUAGCUGGGCACGGGGACUUCUGUGCCUGGGUAGCUUCUCGGGGUACUGCUGCAGCAUUCCUGAAGGCUGGCUGCGAGCAUGGAAAGAUCGUCAACAGGCCCAACUUCACCCUGUCUCCAUCAAUCCUGGACGAUAUACCUGACCUCGCCCGAAGUAUCUCAAAUAGAUUUAUAAAAAUGAUAUGGACAAAAGGCGGGCGGGAGAAGGCUGGAGACGAAGCUCGAAGUCAUCUUGAACCAGAUGACGAAGCUGAAGGUGAUUAAAGAAUAUGCCGCCGAAGCGGAAGCCUGAAGAAGAUUAGUAGUAGUAGGCUAGAAAAUUUGGAACAACUUGUUGUAGAUACAAUUAAACCGUUCUCAAGGAACUUUGUACAUACCUUGUAAUAUAUCCUUACCCUUUUAUUAA